CGCGAUUGGAUGAACCUAGGUGGGAUUAGCUAGUUGGUGAGGUAAUGGCUCACCAAGGCGACGAUCCCUAGCUGUUCUGAGAGGAUGAUCAGCCACACUGGGACUGAGACACGGCCCAGACUCCUACGAGAGGCAGCAGUGGGGAAUAUUGCACAAUGGGGGAAACCCUGAUGCAGCCAUGCCGCGUGUGUGAAGAAGGCCUUCGGGUUGUAAAGCACUUUCAGUAGGGAGGAAAGGGUGAGUCUUAAUACGGCUCAUCUGUGACGUUACCUACAGAAGAAGGACCGGCUAACUCCGUGCCAGCAGCCGCGGUAAUACGGAGGGUCCGAGCGUUAAUCGGAAUUACUGGGCGUAAAGCGUGCGCAGGCGGUUUGUUAAGCGAGAUGUGAAAGCCCUGGGCUCAACCUAGGAAUAGCAUUUCGAACUGGCGAACUAGAGUCUUGUAGAGGGGGGUAGAAUUCCAGGUGUAGCGGUGAAAUGCGUAGAGAUCUGGAGGAAUACCGGUGGCGAAGGCGGCCCCCUGGACAAAGACUGACGCUCAUGCACGAAAGCGUGGGGAGCAAACAGGAUUAGAUACCCUGGUAGUCCACGCCGUAAACGAUGUCUACUCGGAAUUUGGUGCCUU
Molecule: ribosomal RNA, 625 nt
Filed under: uncultured Shewanella sp.
Lineage: Bacteria; Pseudomonadati; Pseudomonadota; Gammaproteobacteria; Alteromonadales; Shewanellaceae
Description: bacterial SSU rRNA
Rfam family: Bacterial small subunit ribosomal RNA
Source: RNAcentral